RNAcentral lists this ribosomal RNA (722 nucleotides) under Bacillus altitudinis. RNAcentral describes it as "bacterial SSU rRNA". It matches the Rfam family "Bacterial small subunit ribosomal RNA", at positions 575 to 1297 of the family's 1533-position model. Lineage: Bacteria; Bacillati; Bacillota; Bacilli; Caryophanales; Bacillaceae. The record is from RNAcentral.
GCGGUUUCUUAAGUCUGAUGUGAAAGCCCCCGGCUCAACCGGGGAGGGUCAUUGGAAACUGGGAAACUUGAGUGCAGAAGAGGAGAGUGGAAUUCCACGUGUAGCGGUGAAAUGCGUAGAGAUGUGGAGGAACACCAGUGGCGAAGGCGACUCUCUGGUCUGUAACUGACGCUGAGGAGCGAAAGCGUGGGGAGCGAACAGGAUUAGAUACCCUGGUAGUCCACGCCGUAAACGAUGAGUGCUAAGUGUUAGGGGGUUUCCGCCCCUUAGUGCUGCAGCUAACGCAUUAAGCACUCCGCCUGGGGAGUACGGUCGCAAGACUGAAACUCAAAGGAAUUGACGGGGGCCCGCACAAGCGGUGGAGCAUGUGGUUUAAUUCGAAGCAACGCGAAGAACCUUACCAGGUCUUGACAUCCUCUGACAACCCUAGAGAUAGGGCUUUCCCUUCGGGGACAGAGUGACAGGUGGUGCAUGGUUGUCGUCAGCUCGUGUCGUGAGAUGUUGGGUUAAGUCCCGCAACGAGCGCAACCCUUGAUCUUAGUUGCCAGCAUUCAGUUGGGCACUUUAAGGUGACUGCCGGUGACAAACCGGAGGAAGGUGGGGAUGACGUCAAAUCAUCAUGCCCCUUAUGACCUGGGCUACACACGUGCUACAAUGGACAGAACAAAGGGCUGCGAGACCGCAAGGUUUAGCCAAUCCCACAAAUCUGUUCUCAGUUCGGA